AGGUCAGUAGCUCUAACGGUAGAGCGUCGGUCUCCAAAACCGAAUGCUGGGGGUUCGAAUCCCUCCUGACCUGCCA
Molecule: transfer RNA, 76 nt
Filed under: Desulfovibrio sp.
Lineage: Bacteria; Pseudomonadati; Thermodesulfobacteriota; Desulfovibrionia; Desulfovibrionales; Desulfovibrionaceae
Also listed under: 2 other names
Description: tRNA-Trp
Rfam family: tRNA
About the family: Transfer RNA (tRNA) molecules are approximately 80 nucleotides in length. Their secondary structure includes four short double-helical elements and three loops (D, anti-codon, and T loops).
Source: RNAcentral